RNAcentral lists this ribosomal RNA (433 nucleotides) under uncultured bacterium. Its description in RNAcentral is "partial 16S ribosomal RNA". It matches the Rfam family "Bacterial small subunit ribosomal RNA", at positions 29 to 507 of the family's 1533-position model. The record is from RNAcentral.
AACGAACGCUGGCGGCAUGCCUAACACAUGCAAGUCGAACGAUCCCUUCGGGGAUAGUGGCGCACGGGUGCGUAACGCGUGGGAACCUGCCCUUAGGUUCGGAAUAACUCAGAGAAAUUUGAGCUAAUACCGGAUAAUGUCUUCGGACCAAAGAUUUAUCGCCUUUGGAUGGGCCCGCGUUGGAUUAGCUAGUUGGUGGGGUAAAGGCCUACCAAGGCGACGAUCCAUAGCUGGUCUGAGAGGAUGAUCAGCCACGCUGGGACUGAGACACGGCCCAGACUCCUACGGGAGGCAGCAGUGGGGAAUAUUGGACAAUGGGCGAAAGCCUGAUCCAGCAAUGCCGCGUGAGUGAUGAAGGCCUUAGGGUUGUAAAGCUCUUUUACCCGGGAUGAUAAUGACAGUACCGGGAGAAUAAGCCCCGGCUAACUCCGUG